CAACCACUGGACAAAGCGAUUGGGCUGCGAUUCUUGAAAAGGAAUCAGGACCAGGAAAGUCCCCGGGCCACUAUCUGCAGAGAUGUAGACCUGGAAACAGGUAAACUCUGCUGUGUUGGAGAGUCCCUAUCGUGCGAUGAGGCUGAGACAUGUGUGGGAGCCAUAUGGGCUUCAACCCAGAUUAUCUUGGCGGAUUUGUACAGUUAUUCGCUUGGUGUUUUGGACUAACUGAACGGGGCUUAUGCUUCAGUGGUG
This 255-nucleotide RNase MRP RNA is filed under the name Rosa chinensis. RNAcentral describes it as "sRNA RchiOBHm_Chr2g0145641". It matches the Rfam family "RNase MRP". From Rfam's summary of the family: RNase MRP is an enzymatically active ribonucleoprotein with two distinct roles in eukaryotes. In mitochondria it plays a direct role in the initiation of mitochondrial DNA replication. Lineage: Eukaryota; Viridiplantae; Streptophyta; Magnoliopsida; Rosales; Rosaceae. The record is from Rfam by way of RNAcentral.